UUUCCGUAGGUGAACCUGCGGAAGGAUCAUUACCGAGAACGCGUCUCUCAGGCGCAUCUCCCACCCUUUGUAUACCUUACUCUGUUGCUUUGGCGGGCCCGUCUCACGACCACCGGCCCCGGCUGGUCCGCGCCCGCCAGAGGACCACAAACUCUUGUAAUCAUGCCGUCUGAGUAAAAACACAAAUACGUUAAAACUUUCAACAACGGAUCUCUUGGUUCUGGCAUCGAUGAAGAACGCAGC
Molecule: unclassified non-coding RNA, 243 nt
Filed under: uncultured fungus
Lineage: Eukaryota; Fungi
Description: sequence contains ITS1, 5.8S rRNA gene
Rfam family: 5.8S ribosomal RNA (bases 195-243)
Source: RNAcentral